AGCAGCAGUGGGGAUAUUGCACAAUGGGGGAAACCCUGAUGCAGCCAUGCCGCGUGUGUGAAGAAGGCCUUCGGGUUGUAAAGCACUUUCAGUAGGGAGGAAAGGUAAUAGUUUAAUACGCUAUUACUGUGACGUUACCUACAGAAGAAGGACCGGCUAACUCCGUGCCAGCAGCCGCGGUAAUACGGAGGGUCCGAGCGUUAAUCGGAAUUACUGGGCGUAAAGCGUGCGCAGGCGGUUUGUUAAGCGAGAUGUGAAAGCCCCGGGCUCAACCUGGGAAUUGCAUUUCGAACUGGCGAACUAGAGUCUUGUAGAGGGGGGUAGAAUUCCAGGUGUAGCGGUGAAAUGCGUAGAGAUCUGGAGGAAUACCGGUGGCGAAGGCGGCCCCCUGGACAAAGACUGACGCUCAGGCACGAAAGCGUGGGGAGCAAACAGGAUUAGAUACCCUGGUAGUCCACGCCGUAAACGAUGUCUACUCGGAGUUUGGUGUCUUGAACACUGGGCUCUCAAGCUAACGCAUUAAGUAGACCGCCUGGGGAGUACGGCCGCAAGGUUAAAACUCAAAUGAAUUGACGGGGCCCCCC
RNAcentral lists this ribosomal RNA (584 nucleotides) under Shewanella sp. Its description in RNAcentral is "bacterial SSU rRNA". It matches the Rfam family "Bacterial small subunit ribosomal RNA", at positions 347 to 924 of the family's 1533-position model. The record is from RNAcentral. Lineage: Bacteria; Pseudomonadati; Pseudomonadota; Gammaproteobacteria; Alteromonadales; Shewanellaceae.